CCUACGGGAGGCAGCAGUGGGGAAUAUUGCACAAUGGGGGAAACCCUGAUGCAGCGACGCCGCGUGAGCGAUGAAGUCAUUCGGGAUGUAAAGCUCUAUCAGCAGGGAAGAAAAUGACGGUACCUGACCAAGAAGCCCCGGCUAACUACGUGCCAGCAGCCGCGGUAAUACGUAGGGGGCAAGCGUUAUCCGGAUUUACUGGGUGUAAGGGGAGCGUAGACGGCUGCGCAAGUCGGAGGUGAAAGGCGGGGGCCCAACCCCGGGACUGCAAUGGAAACUGUGGAGCUGGAGUGCGGGAGAGGCAGGCGGAAUGCCUGGUGUAGCGGUGAAAUGCGUAGAUAUUAGGAGGAACACCAGUGGCGAAGGCGGCCUGCGGGACUGUGACUGACGUUGAGGCUCGAAAGCGUGGGGAGCAAACAGGAUUAGAUACCCCAGUAGUC
Molecule: ribosomal RNA, 440 nt
Filed under: uncultured bacterium
Lineage: Bacteria
Description: partial 16S ribosomal RNA
Rfam family: Bacterial small subunit ribosomal RNA
Source: RNAcentral